Schistosoma haematobium is the source of this 159-nucleotide non-coding RNA. Lineage: Eukaryota; Metazoa; Platyhelminthes; Trematoda; Strigeidida; Schistosomatidae. The record is from Rfam.
CACCUCCAGUUGCUACUACCGAUUGAAUGAUUUAGUGAGGUCGUUGGAAUGGUAUCGUUGUAGUGACUUUGCCGUUCAACUAAUGCUAAGUUGACCUAAUUUGAAUAUUUAGAGGAAGUAAAAGUCAUAACAAGGUUUCCGUAGGUGAACCUGCGGAAG